CCUUUCGGGGUGGAUUAGUGGCGAACGGGUGAGUAACACGUGGGCAAUCUGCCCUGUACUUUGGGAUAAGCCUGGGAAACUGGGUCUAAUACCGGAUAUGACUGAGCCUCGCAUGGGGUUUGGUGGAAAGCUCCGGCGGUACAGGAUGAGCCCGCGGCCUAUCAGCUUGUUGGUGGGGUAAUGGCCUACCAAGGCGACGACGGGUAGCCGGCCUGAGAGGGUGACCGGCCACACUGGGACUGAGACACGGCCCAGACUCCUACGGGAGGCAGCAGUGGGGAAUAUUGCACAAUGGGCGCAAGCCUGAUGCAGCGACGCCGCGUGAGGGAUGACGGCCUUCGGGUUGUAAACCUCUUUCGCCAGGGACGAAGCGCAAGUGACGGUACCUGGAUAAGAAGCACCGGCUAACUACGUGCCAGCAGCCGCGGUAAUACGUAGGGUGCGAGCGUUGUCCGGAAUUAUUGGGCGUAAAGAGCUCGUAGGCGGUUUGUCGCGUCGUUCGUGAAAACUCCACGCUUAACGUGGAGCGUGCGGGCGAUACGGG
This 544-nucleotide ribosomal RNA is filed under the name Amycolatopsis sp. FM9. Its description in RNAcentral is "bacterial SSU rRNA". It matches the Rfam family "Bacterial small subunit ribosomal RNA", at positions 77 to 636 of the family's 1533-position model. The record is from RNAcentral. Lineage: Bacteria; Bacillati; Actinomycetota; Actinomycetes; Pseudonocardiales; Pseudonocardiaceae.